AUUGAACGCUUGCGGCAGGCCUAACACAUGCACGUCGAGCGAGCGGCGGACGGGUGAGUAAUGUCUGGGAAACUGCCUGAUGGAGGGGGAUAACUACUGGAAACGGUAGCUCAUACCGCAUACCAUCAGAUGUGCCCAGAUGGGAUUAGCUAGUAGGUGGGGUAACGGCUCACCUAGGCGACGAUCCCUAGCUGGUCUGGGAGGAUGACCAGACACACAAGAAAUGAGACACGGUCCAAACUCCGAAGGGAGGCAGCAGUGGGGAAUAUUGCACAAUGGGCGCAAGCCUGAUGCAGCCAUGCCGCGGGUGUGAAGAAGGCCUUCGGGUUGUAAAGCACUUUCAGCUGGGAGGCGUUACCCGCAGAAGAAGCACCGGCUAACUCCGUGCCAGCAGCCGCGGUAAUUC
This 406-nucleotide ribosomal RNA is filed under the name uncultured bacterium. Its description in RNAcentral is "partial 16S ribosomal RNA". It matches the Rfam family "Bacterial small subunit ribosomal RNA", at positions 30 to 526 of the family's 1533-position model. The record is from RNAcentral.